AACAAUUGGUGGCAAGUUACAGUUAUUCACUUCUUUCGGGGGUCAGAAAGACUCACAGAGGCAUUUCAGCCUCCCCCUAGCUACAAAUCUAGCUUCCACACCAGCAACGGAUUUCAAACCUGAGACCUAGUGUUUAUAGCCCCAAUGGAAUGAGGAAAAAAAAAUCUAUAGUCUUAUUUAAUUCAUUGAAGUUGCUGCAAAAUGUCAAUUUGUGAAUGAAAUGGUAGAUCGACUUGUUGAGCUAUUUUAAUCCGUCAAGUAGAGCAGCAAGAUAUAAUAUACAAUAUACAAAAAAGUCAGAAAUAAGAGUUGUAUAUGUGCAUAAACAUUAGAUUUUUUUUAAAAUUUAUUAGUGUUACUAUUAUAUAUUUGGUACGUAUCCAAAUUUCCAAAUUGUUUACAUGUUUCAAGUUCUAAAUUUAGACGUUCAAGUGUAAAAUGAAUGUUUUUAAUUUAUUUACAAGUUCUUGAAAUGUGCAGGGUAAUUUCUUUAAAAUGCCAAUAACAUCUCUCAAAAAACAAGAAAAAACUAAGGAGAAAGAAAGGUUGAUAAUCCCCAAUAGUUUGGUGCAAACAGAAAUCGAGUUUUCAAUUAGUUAAGUUUUGAGAAAGAAAUAUGAACAUGCAUUUCAAUGAUUUCAUACAAGCUAGGUCAAUUGAUCAGCUUCUUCUUCUUUGAUUUGUGACGUUCAACCCUGCUCUUGUCGCUACACAUCACACGCACCUAAUACGAUUUAUAUAUAUAAGCAUCGUGGGCAAUAAUUCAACACAUUAACUUAAUCAUAUAUAUUGUAAGUUGUUAUUUUAAAGCAUCAACAUGAAAUUAGGGUUACAUGCGAUUCACACAGACAAAUGAAUAUACAUGAACUUACAUCAAUCAAUAUUCUACAAAAGACUUGCUUGUAGAUGUCGCGGUGAAGGAAGAAUGUGAAGUAGUCUUCUACUCUCAUCACACUAAAUUAUUUUCUGCUAUAUGAAUAGGGUUUUGCAUGUUAGAAUUGUGUAGUGCGAGAGCAUGGACUGCAUCUUUAUAUGCAUUUAGGGUUUCUCUCGAUCCCACCUAUUAUUGGAAAGCGAUAUUUACCCUAAUCACAGCCAAAUCAUAUUAAGUUUCAUCAUGACUCCAUGAUUCUUACUUCAUUAAGACUACCUAUAAAUUAGUUGCAUAGUCAAGACUCCAUGAUUCUUACUUCAUUAAGACUACCAGAUCGCUCAAGUAACAAGUAACUUGGUAUACAAGUUACUUGAGACUCAAGUAAUUCAAACGGUAGUUCAUUGUCAUUCAUAUAGGUACCGUUUAGUAUGUGGGAUGGGACGAAACGCAGUGCGACGGAACACUCUUGUCCCAUGUUUGGUGCUCCAAAGACAGUGGGACGUGCUGUCCCACGAAACGAAAUUUGGUUAAAUUUCCGUUCCACCUCCCCCCUGGAACAACUCGUUCCACCUUGUGGAACACAAAAUUAUAAAAUUUUAGAACAAAAAUACCCCUUAUCUUUUUCAAUAUUUACACCAUCUAAAUCAUAAAACAAACCCUAAAAUUCUAUCAUCUUCUUUCCAUCUUCACCCACCAAGCUUCACCCAUAAAAGCUUUACCAACAAAAACUUCACCCAC
RNAcentral lists this long non-coding RNA (1612 nucleotides) under Malus domestica (apple). Its description in RNAcentral is "long non-coding RNA (MDOM_LNC014701)". Lineage: Eukaryota; Viridiplantae; Streptophyta; Magnoliopsida; Rosales; Rosaceae. The record is from RNAcentral.